UGCUUGUCUCAAAGAUUAAGCCAUGCAUGUCUAAGUGCAAGCCGUCCUGUACGGUGAAACCGCGAAAGGCUCAUUAAAUCAGUUAUGGUUCCUUAGAUAGUACCCACGUUACUUGGAUAACUGUGGUAAUUCUAGAGCUAAUACAUGCCGACAGAGUUCCGACCAGCGUCGCGGUGGUUCGCGCCGCCGUGUUCGUUCGGAAGGAACGCUUUUAUUAGAUCAAAACCGGCCGGGCGGCCGUCGCGUGCUUUAUGCAUGUGACUGGUUGUAAGUGGCCCGCGCAAUGACUUGGUGACUCUGAAUAACUUUGAGCUGAUCGCACGGUCUCGUACCGGCGACGUAUCUUUCAAAUGUCUGCCUUAUCAACUGUCGAUGGUAAGUUCGACGCUUACCAUGGUGUUAACGGGUAACGGGGAAUCAGGGUUCGAUUCCGGAGAGGGAGCCUGAGAAACGGCUACCACAUCCAAGGAAGGCAGCAGGCGCGUAAAUUACCCACUCUUCGUUCGAGGAGGUAGUGACGAAAAAUAACGAUACGGGACUCAUAUGAGGCCUCGUAAUCGGAAUGAGUACACUUUAAACCUUGUCACACAGGAUCAAUUGAGGCAAG
This 607-nucleotide ribosomal RNA is filed under the name Cryptococcus ulmi. RNAcentral describes it as "bacterial SSU rRNA". It matches the Rfam family "Eukaryotic small subunit ribosomal RNA", at positions 29 to 559 of the family's 1831-position model. Lineage: Eukaryota; Metazoa; Arthropoda; Insecta; Hemiptera; Eriococcidae. The record is from RNAcentral.